Oryza rufipogon (brownbeard rice) is the source of this 195-nucleotide microRNA precursor. It matches the Rfam family "MIR812 microRNA precursor family". The record is from Rfam. NCBI's taxonomy places the organism in Eukaryota, Viridiplantae, Streptophyta, Magnoliopsida, Poales, Poaceae.
UUUAAUUACAACCAUAAGUUUUACUUUAAUCGUUCGUCUUAUUUGAAAUUUUUUUAUAAUUAGUAUUUUUUUAUGAGAUGAUAAAGCAUGAAUAGUACUAUACUCGUGACUUACGUUUUUAUAUUUUUUUUUAAUUUUUUUUUAAAUAAGACGGAUGAUCAAAGUUAAACGCGGAAAACCAUAGCUACACUUAAG